This 70-nucleotide transfer RNA is filed under the name marine eukaryotic metagenome. It matches the Rfam family "tRNA". From Rfam's summary of the family: Transfer RNA (tRNA) molecules are approximately 80 nucleotides in length. The record is from RNAcentral.
CCAGAUAGCUCAGUAGGUAGAGCAGCGGACUGAAAAUCCGCGUGUCGGUGGUUCGAUUCCACCUCUGGCC